Prinia subflava (tawny-flanked prinia) is the source of this 406-nucleotide long non-coding RNA. RefSeq lists it as uncharacterized. The transcript has 3 exons. Lineage: Eukaryota; Metazoa; Chordata; Aves; Passeriformes; Cisticolidae. The record is from RefSeq and is a predicted model, not a curated record.
UGGGGGUGGGAACGGGAGCAGGCAGGGUGAGAUAUAACCGGGACGAGCGGGCGAGGAGCAGCGUGAGGAUCCUCCGGUGCUCACACCCCCACCGAGGGGCUGCUUCUUCCCAGCCUCGCCCCAGCAAAAAUUGUUGCUGUGACUCUUGCUACACAUUAACUGGGAGAAAAAUAAAAGAGUGAGUGAACCUUGAAAAAAGGAAACAGGAGACAGUGGACAUGAACAUAGCUAAAAGUGCUGGUAAGAUCUGUAUUAUUUCUAUUUAAACAGUGAUGGAAGGGAAAAUAAGUAAUUUAAAAAACCUUGAGUGGAUCCAAGUAUUGAGUAGUAUAAGGGACACGUGUCCCAAAAAAGCUCAUCAAUGCAUUUUUUAAAUCCUUAGGGAAAUAUUGUAGUGAAGAUUCCA